Molecule: non-coding RNA, 24 nt
Filed under: Arabidopsis thaliana (thale cress)
Lineage: Eukaryota; Viridiplantae; Streptophyta; Magnoliopsida; Brassicales; Brassicaceae
Source: RNAcentral
GAUAAAUGAUGAAACAAACAGGGC